UACGGAGGGUGCAAGCGUUGUCCGGAUUUAUUGGGUUUAAAGGGUGCGUAGGCGGCCCGUUAAGUCAGUGGUGAGAGCCCGGGGCUCAACCCCGGAACUGCCAUUGAUACUGGCGGGCUUGAGUACAGACGAGGUAGGCGGAAUUGAAGAUGUAGCGGUGAAAUGCUUAGAUAUCUUCAAGAACACCGAUUGCGAAGGCAGCUAACUAGGCUGUAACUGACGCUGAGGCACGAAAGCGUGGGGAGCGAACAGG
RNAcentral lists this unclassified non-coding RNA (253 nucleotides) under uncultured Hymenobacteraceae bacterium. Its description in RNAcentral is "contains 16S-23S intergenic spacer region". It matches the Rfam family "Bacterial small subunit ribosomal RNA", at positions 524 to 776 of the family's 1533-position model. The record is from RNAcentral. Lineage: Bacteria; Pseudomonadati; Bacteroidota; Cytophagia; Cytophagales; Hymenobacteraceae.